GAGGAAUAUUGGUCAAUGGGCGCAAGUCUGAACCAGCCAAGUAGCGUGCAGGAUGACGGCCCUAUGGGUUGUAAACUGCUUUUGUAUGGGGAUAAAGUCAAUCACGUGUGAUUGUUUGCAGGUACCAUACGAAUAAGGACCGGCUAAUUCCGUGCCAGCAGCCGCGGUAAUACGGAAGGUCCGGGCGUUAUCCGGAUUUAUUGGGUUUAAAGGGAGCGUAGGCUGGAGAUUAAGUGUGUUGUGAAAUGUAGACGCUCAACGUCUGAAUUGCAGCGCAUACUGGUUUCCUUGAGUACGCACAACGUUGGCGGAAUUCGUCGUGUAGCGGUGAAAUGCUUAGAUAUGACGAAGAACUCCGAUUGCGAAGGCAGCUGACGGGAGCGCAACUGACGCUUAAGCUCGAAGGUGCGGGUAUCAAACAGGAUUAGAUACCCUGGUAGUCCGCACAGUAAACGAUGGAUGCCCGCUGUUGGUACCUGGUAUCAGCGGCUAAGCGAAAGCAUUAAGCAUCCCACCUGGGGAGUACGCCGGCAACGGUG
This 539-nucleotide ribosomal RNA is filed under the name uncultured bacterium. RNAcentral describes it as "bacterial SSU rRNA". It matches the Rfam family "Bacterial small subunit ribosomal RNA", at positions 356 to 896 of the family's 1533-position model. The record is from RNAcentral.